UGGGGAAUAUUGGACAAUGGGCGAAAGCCUGAUCCAGCCAUGCCGCGUGUGUGAAGAAGGCCUUUUGGUUGUAAAGCACUUUAAGUGGGGAGGAAAAGCUUAUGGUUAAUACCCAUAAGCCCUGACGUUACCCACAGAAUAAGCACCGGCUAACUCUGUGCCAGCAGCCGCGGUAAUACAGAGGGUGCAAGCGUUAAUCGGAAUUACUGGGCGUAAAGCGCGCGUAGGUGGUUAUUUAAGUCAGAUGUGAAAGCCCCGGGCUUAACCUGGGAACUGCAUCUGAUACUGGAUAACUAGAGUAGGUGAGAGGGGAGUAGAACUCCAGGUGUAGCGGUGAAAUGCGUAGAGAUCUGGAGGAAUACCGAUGGCGAAGGCAGCUCCCUGGCAUCAUACUGACACUGAGGUGCGAAAGCGUGGGUAGCAAACAGGAUUAGAUACCCUGGUAGUCCACGCCGUAAACGAUGUCUACCAGUCGUUGGGUCUUUUAAAGACUUAGUGACGCAGUUAACGCAAUAAGUAGACCGCCUGGGGAGUACGGCCGCAAGGUUA
This 549-nucleotide ribosomal RNA is filed under the name uncultured bacterium. RNAcentral's name for it is "bacterial SSU rRNA". It matches the Rfam family "Bacterial small subunit ribosomal RNA", at positions 355 to 896 of the family's 1533-position model. The record is from RNAcentral.